RNAcentral lists this transfer RNA (72 nucleotides) under Bos taurus (domestic cattle). It matches the Rfam family "tRNA". From Rfam's summary of the family: Transfer RNA (tRNA) molecules are approximately 80 nucleotides in length. The record is from Rfam by way of RNAcentral. Lineage: Eukaryota; Metazoa; Chordata; Mammalia; Artiodactyla; Bovidae. RNAcentral also lists the same sequence under 4 other names.
UCUCUUGUAGCUCAGUUGGUAAAGAAUUUACCUGCAGUGCAAGAGACCCAGGUUCGAUCCCUGGGUUGAGAA